AGGAGUUCUUAUUGUCACUAUUCUGCAGGUGAGAAACUGAGGCACAGAGGGGUUAGGUAAGUUAUCGAAAGUCACAUAGCUACUAUUAAUAUAAGUAGGACUCUGUACUCUUAACCUUUAUGCUCCUUCUGAAGAAAGGUUUUUUUUUGUUUUUUUUUUUUUUUAAGUACAGAGUAGGUAAUAUUCAACUUGACUUUUAAAGUGCAGGUUGAGUUAACGGAGAAUGAGAACCUUUAGGAAGGAAUGGCAUGUACAGGACAAGGAACCUCGAGGGGAUUGUGCGCAGAAGGAAAAGGCAAGUAUGCACCCAGGCUACAUCCUGAAGGGAACAAAGAUAGAGAGAGAGAGAGCAAGAGUCAGACAAAACUCAAGUUAGCUUUGUAGAGGUGUGUAGUGUAGAGACUACCUACACUACACUAUCCUGUCCUGUCAGCAGGGAGGGCCACCGGAGGAUUUAUAAAGGGGAGUGUUGUCAGAAUGACUGCUCUGUAGAUGAGUAGCUUUCUUUCUUUCUGGUAAGAAUGAGAAGGAAAUCAUGGUAAGAUCAAGUUGGGUGCAACUGAACAGUGUAUUUGCUGUAAAAACCCAGCUUCACAAUUCUGAGAAAUGCAACGUGUCAGGCUCUGCAGACAGAAGGUUAUCUGUGAAUUUGAGCUGUCUUUUCCUCUUCUGUUUCCAUGUAAGAAGAAAUUGUACUGUUGCUUCUGAGUAAGGGGUGUUGGGAUGUCCCCCCACGGCUACUGCCAUUGCCUUCUCGCUGCAUCCGAGCCCUGUCACUGCCAAUGCCGGGCCAUGCUGUGAUGUCACACUGGAAAAGAAUGAACUGUGGUUCUCAUUGUUAGGGAUCACAGAUAUUCUUCUAGAAGGAACAAGGAUUGCUACAAAUGUUAAGUGUCUAUGGGGAAAUCAGUCAAGGAGGAUUCAAGAUGUUGGCCGUACUUCUGUGACAGAAUCAGAAGCACUGUCCCUCAGAGCCUCACUAAUGACAGGCAGAAGCAGAAUCCCAUGGUAGCCAGGUGGGUGAAGGGGAGCGAGGACGUCCCAUCUGCCUUGAAGAAGACGCCUUCUGACCUGCUGAGGGAGUGACCAGGUAGUAAACAGUCUGAGGGCACAGGGUGUUGAGAGGGAGGGAAAAGGUGCUUACCCUUUGAGUGUGGUCUACCAGCCACUCUUUUCCACAGAGAGAUGCUAAAACCAAGAAUCCCCUCCCCAGAGGCUCUAAGUCUUGUUCCCCCUUUUAAGGCCAUCAAUCUUGAAUAGCUAUUGGUGUCAUUACCUCCAACACUAGAUGUGCAGAAAUGUAACAAGAGAGCUUUCAGCAGAAAGAGGGAAAAGAUCCAGCUCAUCUGAAGCCUGGCCCAUUGCCUCUUUUAAAGAGAGGUUAAAACAGAAGCUUCAUGGCACCGCCUUCAUGUAAACAGGGCCAAGUUUUCCAGAAUCUGGCAGACAGCUGAGCUUGGAGCUUCGCUCGUGCCCGCAGGACACUCGUGUGUCACUCACACUUGAAAACUUAAGCCUCUGUUUUUAUUUCAGUGGAUUGAAUGGCAUGCACUUUCCCUUAGCAGUUUCUCUCUCUCUCUCUCUCUCUCUCUCUCCCUUUUUUUAAAGUGCAUGCAUUUACUUGUACAUAAACUUCAUUUGCUUUGGGCAAUGCUCACGUUCUGAGCUUGACUAUGCUUUUGGGCAUGGUGGCAUGUUGUUUUGUUCCCAAGUUUUUGUGGUGGUCACUUUCCUCUUGGUUACGGAAAAAUGCUGCUGAGGGGCUGAUAAAGCCUAUGUUCUUCAGUUAUAUCCUGUAUUUUUCUCUUAAAUUAAUCUCUACAUAAGUGGAAUAGGCUUCAAAAAGAAAAAUAAAUUCUGAAUAGCUUAGGGCCCUUCUUUGCAAUGAAAAUGAAAAAGUAACUUUUCUUUCCAAGAAAAAAAAAAUCAUUUCAAGGGUUAUUCAGUAAAUGACACGCUCUUAAUAUAACAGGAAAAUUAAAAAGCACGAAUCCCUGCAUCUUCAACAAGUGUUAGUUUCUGAUGGAUGGUUUCAGUUUCCUUGAAAGGAUUUGCCCAGAAGAUUACUUCCAAAACUUCUGUUGAGAUAAUGCUGCCCUAACAGCGAAGAUUAUUGCAUGAAUCACAGACCACUGUAUCCAGUUCCUUUUUAAAGGGGGGAUUUUUUCCUUUAUCCUUAAAAUACCAAUGAGGUGGAAAAAACCCCACAUGCCAACCAGGUAGUGUUACCCUGUAAUUACUCCCAUUGUCUGUUUCAAGGAAUAUAGGAUGAUUUAUUUCAGU
Molecule: long non-coding RNA, 2283 nt
Filed under: Canis lupus familiaris (dog)
Lineage: Eukaryota; Metazoa; Chordata; Mammalia; Carnivora; Canidae
Description: lncRNA (ENSCAFG00845028960.1)
Source: RNAcentral